Molecule: transfer RNA, 73 nt
Filed under: Scenedesmus sp. NREL 46B-D3
Lineage: Eukaryota; Viridiplantae; Chlorophyta; Chlorophyceae; Sphaeropleales; Scenedesmaceae
Rfam family: tRNA
About the family: Transfer RNA (tRNA) molecules are approximately 80 nucleotides in length. Their secondary structure includes four short double-helical elements and three loops (D, anti-codon, and T loops). Further hydrogen bonds mediate the characteristic L-shaped molecular structure. tRNAs have two regions of fundamental functional importance: the anti-codon, which is responsible for specific mRNA codon recognition, and the 3' end, to which the tRNAs corresponding amino acid is attached (by aminoacyl-tRNA synthetases). tRNAs cope with the degeneracy of the genetic code in two manners: having more than one tRNA (with a specific anti-codon) for a particular amino acid; and 'wobble' base-pairing, i.e. permitting non-standard base-pairing at the 3rd anti-codon position.
Source: Rfam by way of RNAcentral
GGGCGCAUAGCUCAAUUGGUAGAGCGCCCGCUUUGCAUGCGGGAGGUAGGGGGAUCGAAACCCUCUGUGUCCA